CCAAACUUGGUCAUUUAGAGGAAGUACAAGUCGUAACAAGGUAUCCGUAGGUGAACCUGCGGAUGGAUCAUUACCGAGUGAUUUUGUUUGUAAUGUGAAUUGUUGAUUGUUUGGUUGGUGGGUUUUGUUUUUGGUGUGUUGAUUUACUUUGGUAUAUUUGAUGUGCUUUGGUGUAUUGAUGUUCCUUGGUAUAUUUGAUGUGCUUUGGCAUAUCGAUUUACUUUGGUAUAUUUGAUGCUCCUUGGUGUAUUGAUUUACUUUGGUACAUUGAUGUUCCUUGGUACAUUGAUGUUCCUUACUAUAUCGAUGUCCCUUUGUAUAUCGAUGCCCAUACAUCAAAACCACCAGCCUUUGUACGUACACUAUGCAAGCCUGAGUCCAUUCACUGAAUGAUAAAACAACUUUUAGCAAUGGAUCUCUUGGCUCUCGCAUCGAUGAAGAACGCAGC
This 448-nucleotide unclassified non-coding RNA is filed under the name uncultured fungus. RNAcentral's name for it is "partial contains small subunit ribosomal RNA, internal transcribed spacer 1, and 5.8S ribosomal RNA". The stretch from base 1 to 73 matches the Rfam family "Eukaryotic small subunit ribosomal RNA", at positions 1759 to 1831 of the family's 1831-position model. Lineage: Eukaryota; Fungi. The record is from RNAcentral.